CAACCUACCUAUCAGAGGGGAAUAACCCGGCGAAAGUCGGACUAAUACCGCAUAAACCAGGGGCACCGCAUGGUGAUAUUUGUUAAAGAAAUUCGCUGAUAGAUGGGCAUGCGUUCCAUUAGGUAGUUGGUGAGGUAACGGCUCACCAAGCCGACGAUGGAUAGGGGAACUGAGAGGUUGGUCCCCCACACUGGUACUGAGACACGGACCAGACUCCUACGGGAGGCAGCAGUGAGGAAUAUUGGUCAAUGGGCGGGAGCCUGAACCAGCCAAGUCGCGUGAAGGAAGAAGGAUCUAUGGUUCGUAAACUUCUUUUGCAGGGGAAUAAAGUGCAGGACGUGUCCUGUUUUGUAUGUACCCUGAGAAUAAGGAUCGGCUAACUCCGUGCCAGCAGCCGCGGUAAUACGGAGGAUCCGAGCGUUAUCCGGAUUUAUUGGGUUUAAAGGGUGCGUAGGUGGUUUGAUAAGUCAGCGGUGAAAGUUUGCAGCUUAACUGUAAAAAUGCCGUUGAAACUGUCGGACUUGAGUGUAAAUGAGGUAGGUGGAAUGCGUGGUGUAGCGGUGAAAUGCAUAGAUAUCACGAAGAACUCCGAUUG
Molecule: ribosomal RNA, 595 nt
Filed under: uncultured Bacteroidota bacterium
Lineage: Bacteria; Pseudomonadati; Bacteroidota
Description: bacterial SSU rRNA
Rfam family: Bacterial small subunit ribosomal RNA
Source: RNAcentral